RNAcentral lists this microRNA (22 nucleotides) under Homo sapiens (human). Its description in RNAcentral is "hsa-miR-3202". The record is from miRBase by way of RNAcentral. Lineage: Eukaryota; Metazoa; Chordata; Mammalia; Primates; Hominidae.
UGGAAGGGAGAAGAGCUUUAAU